UAGGGAAUCUUCCACAAUGGACGCAAGUCUGAUGGAGCAACGCCGCGGGAGUGAAGAAGGUUUUCGGAUCGUAAAGCUCUGUUGUUGGUGAAGAAGGAUAGAGGUAGUAACUGGCCUUUAUUUGACGGUAAUCAACCAGAAAGUCACGGCUAACUACGUGCCAGCAGCCGCGGUAAUACGUAGGUGGCAAGCGUUGUCCGGAUUUAUUGGGCGUAAAGCGAGCGCAGGCGGAAGAAUAAGUCUGAUGUGAAAGCCCUCGGCUUAACCGAGGAACUGCAUCGGAAACUGUUUUUCUUGAGUGCAGAAGAGGAGAGUGGAAUUCCAUGUGUAGCGGUGGAAUGCGUAGAUAUAUGGAAGAACACCAGUGGCGAAGGCGACUCUCUGGUCUGCAACUGACGCUGAGGCUCGAAAGCAUGGGUAGCGAACAGG
RNAcentral lists this ribosomal RNA (429 nucleotides) under Bacillota bacterium. Its description in RNAcentral is "Firmicutes bacterium partial 16S ribosomal RNA". It matches the Rfam family "Bacterial small subunit ribosomal RNA", at positions 355 to 776 of the family's 1533-position model. The record is from RNAcentral. Lineage: Bacteria; Bacillati; Bacillota.